UUCAGGGGUAAACCUGAGAAGCCCGAAAGGUCGAAUGGGGAAAUUCAUUCGCGUUUCGGCAGUCGGCGUUGGAUGGACGAGUGACGGAUGGCGUACGCGUCGUCCGCGCCUUCCGUUCAUCGAACCGGCGUCGAACGCGUGCACUUUUCCCCUAGUAGGACGUCGCGAUCCGUUGGGUGUCGGUCUACGGCCCGUGGUGGAGCCCGUGCGGUCGCUUCUGCGUAUCGCACGGACCCGCGGUGUCCCGGCCGACUCGCUCGACGGUAUACAGAUGGCGCGGGGCCGCUACUACACAGUUAGCGUUCGGCCUGCGGCAAGCGCGUUCGUUGUUUGACGGCGAUCGGACCUGGUGCCGGUCCUGUCCGCGAACGACUGUUGGCUGCGGUGUUCUCGAACAGACCUCGAUCGAAACGCCGAUCUGCGACGCUAUAGCUUUGGGUACUUUCAGGACCCACGGACCAAGGAGUCUAGCAUGUGCGCGAGUCAUUGGGACAUAACUAAACCUAAAGGCGUAAUGAAAGUGAAGGUCCGCCUUGCGCGGAUCGAGGGAGGAUGGGUGGUUCGCCCUAAACGGUGGCCGCUCCGCACUCCCGGGGCGUCUCGUUCUCAUCGCGAGAAGAGGCGCACCAAGAGC
RNAcentral lists this ribosomal RNA (634 nucleotides) under Teratoclytus plavilstshikovi. RNAcentral describes it as "eukaryotic LSU rRNA". Lineage: Eukaryota; Metazoa; Arthropoda; Insecta; Coleoptera; Cerambycidae. The record is from RNAcentral.